This 262-nucleotide unclassified non-coding RNA is filed under the name Hevea brasiliensis (rubber tree). The record is from RNAcentral. Lineage: Eukaryota; Viridiplantae; Streptophyta; Magnoliopsida; Malpighiales; Euphorbiaceae.
GGUGGCAAGGAAUGCUGCGUUGAUAACAUGCUGAAGUGGCUGAGGUGCUCCAUCGUUUAGGUGGAUCAAUCCUCCUGGACGACAUUGUCAAAGAAAUACACUGAGAUCCAAAAGGUAGACUUAUGAAUAUGAACAUGGGUAGGCCAGCCAAAUAAGAGAUGGUUUACCUUUGGUUCUGUAAAGCUUGUAAAAUUUGGUAGGUAAGAACACAUGAUUAUAUUGGUCUGGUUGUGAAAUUUCCUUAAUAUUUCUUCAUAUGGAU